GCCGCCGCUCUCUUCCCUCACAGG
RNAcentral lists this non-coding RNA (24 nucleotides) under Arabidopsis thaliana (thale cress). Lineage: Eukaryota; Viridiplantae; Streptophyta; Magnoliopsida; Brassicales; Brassicaceae. The record is from RNAcentral.